CCCUUAGAGUUUGAUCCUGGCUCAGGACGAACGCUGGCGGGGCGCCUAACACAUGCAAGUCGAACGAGCGAGAGAGAGCUUGCUUUCUCGAGCGAGUGGCGAACGGGUGAGUAACGCGUGAGGAACCUGCCUCAAAGAGGGGAACAACAGUUGGAAACGACUGCUAAUACCGCAUAAGCCCACGGGUCGGCAUCGACCAGAGGGAAAAGGAGCAAUCCGCUUUGAGAUGGCCUCGCGUCCGAUUAGCUGGUUGGUGAGGUAAUGGCCCACCAAGGCGACGAUCGGUAGCCGGACUGAGAGGUUGAACGGCCACAUUGGGACUGAGACACGGCCCAGACUCCUACGGGAGGCAGCAGUGGGGAAUAUUGCACAAUGGGGGGAACCCUGAUGCAGCGACGCCGCGUGGAGGAAGAAGGUCUUCGGAUUGUAAACUCCUGUUGUGAGGAAGAUAAUGACGGUACUCAACAAGGAAGUGACGGCUAUUACG
Molecule: ribosomal RNA, 487 nt
Filed under: uncultured bacterium
Lineage: Bacteria
Description: bacterial SSU rRNA
Rfam family: Bacterial small subunit ribosomal RNA
Source: RNAcentral